CUCCAAGCAGACCCAGAAAGGGCAUCUGAGCCUGUUAGCUGCGUCGUCACUAGCUAUCAACCAAUCAGCGAUCGAAGGCGGACCACAUUAACCAAUCAGCGCUCAGGACUUCACAAACUACGACAAGUCGCUAAGCUCAAACUGCGCGGGGGAAGUGACAGCUGAAGAAAUCGCGAAAUCGUGCAAAUCUUGAACAAAGUUUGCACAAAUCUGAUUCAACGACUCAGUUAUGAUCUGGAACUGAAGCGACCCGAGCUGAAACUGAUCACUUCUCCUUCACACCUGCGACUCAUGAGGCUGACACACCGGCGUGACUUUCAUCAGCAGCGAGCUCUGGUGAUAAGUUAGCAACACUGAGUUACCUUAAGGUCAACUAGAUGUGCAGCACAACAGGUGCUGUGAGGUUAUCGAGUCAUGAAAUUCAGAUAUGAAAUGAAAUGUCACGUUAGCAGCUGCAUCCUGGUUAACCUCACACAUUACAGCAGGCCUAUUGGAACCAUUUGACCCCUGCUUGUUUGAGCUAGUUAGCUGGCAUGGUGGAGAUAAUCACAGUUAAAUCUCAACACGAGUAUGAAUGCUGAUUGAACCGCUUACAUUAACCUCUAAAUACCUGCAUGUCUGCCGGGAUGCUAGCAGUGAAACUAACGUGAUGCCACGCUGCUAGUUCCCCCUGACUAACAUUCCUGUGAGAUAGCGUCUCUAUCUCCAUCGAUUAGGGCGUGUUAGUGCUUCUAACUUACCUGUUGCGGGUGGAGAAAGCUCCCAGCGACGGGGAAAUGUUUCCCAAGCAGAGGAUCACCUUGUUUGACUUAAGCAGGGCCAUGGUUGUGCUGCGCUUGGGAGCUGAGCCUAGCAGGAUGUGGACGGAUGUGAAGGGCAGGCACGACCACGACGCUACGCUCCUUCAACGUGCUGACGUCAGAGCAGCAAUCAGCACGUUCAGUACUUAACAGGAAUGGCAAACUCACUGUCUGUCUAAAGAACUGGAGGAGCAUCACACAACAGGGCCUGGAAGUCCAUGAAACCGUGUUCCUGCAGGGCACCUCACUGGCACCCCAACACAGUGACAGAGCAGGACACACACUUGGCUCUCAUGUGGGACUGCUACUGUGUGAAGAAGAUAUGGAUAUUUCCAACAAACCUAGGUCCUUCAGCAAAGCAUCCAGCUCCUGCUCAUCAAUGUAGCCGUUACCAUCCUGAAGAAAGAGACAGCACAAGAGAUCAAAAGGACUCUCUCAGUUUGACGGUAAUCCUACCUCAAACUUCAGCAGGAAAUUUUCCUGGACUGGCAAGAGCCUGUAGUAAGAAACAAAAAGACAAAAAAAAAAC
Molecule: long non-coding RNA, 1329 nt
Organism: Notolabrus celidotus (New Zealand spotty)
Lineage: Eukaryota; Metazoa; Chordata; Actinopteri; Labriformes; Labridae
Exons: 4
Source: RefSeq, a predicted model, not a curated record